AAGGGAACCCGGGGCCCGUCCCCGUCCUCCCACCCCUGAAUACGCGAGGCGAUUAUCGAGUUACUUCGGCGGAUCUUUUCGCCGCCGAGCAACCCGCACCAAACUCUAUUUCAACGUGUCGUCUGAGGAAAACACAACGAAUCA
RNAcentral lists this unclassified non-coding RNA (144 nucleotides) under uncultured fungus. Its description in RNAcentral is "sequence contains ITS1". The record is from RNAcentral. Lineage: Eukaryota; Fungi.